Molecule: ribosomal RNA, 402 nt
Filed under: uncultured bacterium
Lineage: Bacteria
Description: bacterial SSU rRNA
Rfam family: Bacterial small subunit ribosomal RNA
Source: RNAcentral
GGGGAAUAUUGCGCAAUGGGGGAAACCCUGACGCAGCAACGCCGCGUGAAGGAUGAAGGCUUUCGGGUUGUAAACUUCUUUGAUGAGGGAAGAAUAAAUGACGGUACCUCAAAAACAAGCCACGGCUAACUACGUGCCAGCAGCCGCGGUAAUACGUAGGUGGCGAGCGUUGUCCGGAAUUACUGGGUGUAAAGGGCGUGUAGGCGGGAAUGUAAGUCAGAUGUGAAAUUCCGAGGCUCAACCUCGGCGCUGCAUCUGAAACUAUAUUUCUUGAGUGCUGGAGAGGAAAGCGGAAUUCCUAGUGUAGCGGUGAAAUGCGUAGGUAUUAGGAGGAACACCAGUGGCGAAGGCGGCUUUCUGGACAGUAACUGACGCUGAGGCGCGAAAGCGUGGGGAGCAAAC